UUUCUAGCUGAUAGAGAAACCAUUACAUUUCUUCUCCAUCCCCCAAAACCAACCCCUGAGAAAGGGUUGGUGACCAAAGAUAUACCAGGAACAUCAGACGACAUAAGAAACAAAGGGUUUGUGGGGCUAGGAACAAAUGCUGUAGGUUCAGAAGUAGAAUCUUCAUCAUUUCCCACCAUUUUGACUACUGAAUGUGUUGAAGACCCAAACAGAUCAACAAAACUCAAUUACAGAUUCAAAACUCACCAACAAUCGGUUGAAAACUCAAAAAUAGGCCACAAAUCGUAACUACAAACUCAAGCUAACCAACAAUAGCAACUACAAAUUCAUCAAAUCAACAAAUCGUGACUACAAAAACAACUAACACAAUAUCCACCAAAAAAAA
This 385-nucleotide long non-coding RNA is filed under the name Nicotiana benthamiana. RNAcentral's name for it is "long non-coding RNA (NBEN_LNC002098)". The record is from RNAcentral. Lineage: Eukaryota; Viridiplantae; Streptophyta; Magnoliopsida; Solanales; Solanaceae.